This 253-nucleotide ribosomal RNA is filed under the name uncultured bacterium. RNAcentral describes it as "partial 16S ribosomal RNA". It matches the Rfam family "Bacterial small subunit ribosomal RNA", at positions 524 to 776 of the family's 1533-position model. The record is from RNAcentral.
UACGAAGGUCCCAAGCGUUGUUCGGAUUUACUGGGCGUAAAGCGUGCGUAGGCGGCGAGGUAAGUCAGAUGUGAAAUCCCGGGGCUCAACCCCGGAACUGCAUCCGAUACUGCCCUGCUAGAGUAAUGGAGGGGCAUCUGGAAUUCAUGGUGUAGCAGUGAAAUGCGUAGAUAUCAUGAGGAACACUAGUGGCGAAGGCGAGAUGCUGGACAUUUACUGACGCUGAGGUACGAAGGCCAGGGUAGCGAAAAGG